AUCAAGGCAUUGAUGGAGAAAAGUACCGCGGACGUUCCGGGCCAGUGAGCGGGGGAUGGUGGAAACCCCGUACCAAAGAAUCCGCGGGAAGAACACUCCGGAGCCGCAACCUGAACGCGGAUUCUUCCGCCAGUAAGCGCGACGGGCCGUGACCGUUACAUCACGCGGGCUUGUUGGAGCCUUGAAGAGGUGGCGUCCCAUUGGGAGGCAAAUUAGGUGGCACCGCGGAUAGCAGCUAUUCGUCCUAAAA
RNAcentral lists this non-coding RNA (250 nucleotides) under Oscillibacter sp. RNAcentral's name for it is "T-box sequence". It matches the Rfam family "T-box leader". From Rfam's summary of the family: Uncharged tRNA acts as the effector for transcription antitermination of genes in the T-box leader family. T-boxes are found upstream of many aminoacyl-tRNA synthetase genes and some amino acid biosynthetic genes usually in Gram-positive bacteria. The record is from RNAcentral. Lineage: Bacteria; Bacillati; Bacillota; Clostridia; Eubacteriales; Oscillospiraceae.